Molecule: transfer RNA, 71 nt
Filed under: Marisediminitalea aggregata
Lineage: Bacteria; Pseudomonadati; Pseudomonadota; Gammaproteobacteria; Alteromonadales; Alteromonadaceae
Also listed under: 1 other name
Rfam family: tRNA
About the family: Transfer RNA (tRNA) molecules are approximately 80 nucleotides in length.
Source: RNAcentral
UGCGAGAUCGUCUAAUGGUAGGACGUCUGGCUCUGAACCAGGAAAUGGGGGUUCGAAUCCUUCUCUCGCAA